Molecule: long non-coding RNA, 5969 nt
Organism: Marmota monax (woodchuck)
Lineage: Eukaryota; Metazoa; Chordata; Mammalia; Rodentia; Sciuridae
Exons: 3
Source: RefSeq, a predicted model, not a curated record
GCCUACUCUGCCAAAGCCAACCUGGAUCUCAUCUGCGACAAAGACCCCUCCAGCCCUGUGGAUGUGCCUGUGGUGGAGGACAGAUGGCCAUCGGGGCUUUGGUGCUGCCCACCUACUUACUCUGCUACUUGGGAGAAGUAACCAGCAGGGGGAAUGAUCUGCCCUCCCACGCUGGGCAGAGACUCCACGAAGAAGGCUGCAAUCUGUGGAUGAGACACACAUUGGGAACACCACCAGGCAAUUCGGUGUGCCCUGCUGAUGCUGGCUCAGCGGUAGUCCCCAGCAGGACCAGACGCCAUCACUGCUGUACCCUCCUUUGGAGCCCAUGUCACAUCUGAUGGUUUGAGACUCGGGUUUUCUUUUAGGUCUCAAACCAACACUUACAUAUGGAUGCCUCCGUCCCCUUGUUCUUGGUGUGUCCCUAACUAUAAAUUCACUGGUAUGCCUGUUCCUUCCUUCCCCUCUCUGGUGACCCGUACCAAUCUCAUCCCUCCUGCCUUGGACAAAUAUGGUCCCAUUCUUGAUUGCCCCCUCCCUCAUCUAAUCAGUCAUGCUGAUAUUGAUUCUACUUCAGUAACAUCUCUGAACUCACUACUUCCUCUCUGACAUGCCUGCCUCCCAGAGGACUUGCCUGUUUCUGCCUUGGCCUCAUAGUUGUCAUCUACUCAACUGGACACUUCUACAGUGUCUCUCUCACAAGACCACAGGGGUGACACUACAAGCCAGAAAGUUGAACUCUUUGCUGUCCUGCUUAAAACCCUUUACUGACCCCUCUGCUCACAGCCAUGACUUCCCAACUGUGUUCUGCCUGGGAACUGCUUCAGAGGCCAUUGGUAGGAUGUGGGGGGGGGGCUGAUUGGGUGGGAAACUGAUCCUCUACCUCUGCUGCAAACAGAGCAAUGUUCUUUCCAGGUUUUAUGGAAGUGGCUGCACAGCAUCUGAAAUCUACAGGUCAGACUUUCUUGGUCUGAUCCUGCCAACCCUUCUGGUCCCACAGCCCACCUUUCUUUGCCAUGUAUCCUGUGUUUUGCUCUGUCACUCCUUCAGUGAAGUAUUCCAGAAAGUCUUCACCCCAGUCACCAAAACUGCCCUUUGUGGGUACUGUUCUGGGUCACAGCACAUUUCUCCUGUUUCUGCUUGUCCACUUCAUUUCCACUAUACUGCCCUGGUCAGGCUUCCCCAUUGCUCACUUAGAACCAACACAGCCUCCUCAAGAUCCCUCCUCUCAGGAUAUCCCAUUCACAUCCAUCCCACACAGCUGGGAUAGAUGAGAGAACAGCUCAGCCCUGUUAUCGCUCUCCCUCUUAAAGCCCUUCACUGACACUCAUGGUCUCCAGUGCAGAGUUCCAGUCACUCACCACAGCAUUGGGAUCCCCUGGCAGAUGGGUCCUGUCUGCCUCUUCAGGCCCACCUAUCUCCACACCCACAGUUCCUCACCUCUGCACAGGCUAUCCUGUUUAGGAGGCCCUUCUUCCCCUGCUAAUUCCUACUCACCUUUUACUAUUGCAGUCAGGUAGUACCUUCUGCAAGGACCUGCCUUCGUGCCCACAUAAGUCCUCCCUGGGCCUUGGAUGCCUAUAACAUCUAGGAUGUUCUCACCAAAAUUCUUGGCUGGGCACCUAUUAGCCCCACCUCAUGCACACACUAAAUUCCAAGAGGGCAGGGCCUCAUUCUGCUUUCCCUCUAGGCAUCUAGCACAGCGCAGGUAACAGUGGUGGUGACAUUCACUAGACUGUUGAGGGUGUGGUUACCUUCCUGCCCUUCUCCUGUGCAUUGCUGACAACACGUUUCACUUCAUUGGCAUAGGCCACAGCUGGAUUGGGAUGGUCCUCUCGGUAAGGGCCCCGGUAGGUGUCUGGGAGAGGUGCCUGUAGGGAGUACAAGCACUGUGUCAUUCUGGCUUCGGGGUGGGCACCAACCUGUUGCCAUUGUGGGUAGUGCAUACCACAUGGACCCACUCCUUCUGGCCAUCCAGGUACCGGAACUUGUAUGGACUGAUGUCAAUCAGGGAGCUCAGGUGACCGUGAUAAGCACUGGGGAGAAAAAGGGAGGGCUCAGGCCCCAGUAGCAUGUUCUUAUGAUCUAACCCUGACCACUGCCUAUCCACUGCCAAAGGCAACACAAAGACCCCCAGCUCUUGGACUGGGAACAAGCAUGGGCCUUGUAGUAAGACUUCCUACAAGGCCACUAACUGGCCAUGUCAAAAUACUGAUUGCUUAAUCUCUCUGGGUCCAGUUUUCUCCUCUGUGAAGUGUGUUUAUGGCGUCUCCUUCAGGGUAUAAUGUAUCUUAAUUGGGCUAAUGCUCUAAGCCCAGGCCUGGGUCUUCUGCACAUCAGAUACUCAAUACAUAGGAGCUAUAGCUGGAACAGUUUGAAUAUCUAAAUGAAGGACUUUCAAUUCCUUACAAAGCAUGUCCUCCUCCCCAGGAGCUGCCCUCCCGGGACAGUGGCCUGAUGAUAGAGUCCCUGGGAGGUAUCUUUGGGGCAUAGUCCUGUGCCUGUCAUGUUUCAAGGCUUUCAUCCUCUGUCUAAGGUAGCCAAGGUCAGAGUCUCACUGAUCCUCAAUAAGCCUAUGGGCCUGAAAGUGGCAGGCAGGGCUAUGAGUUUCACUUACUGGUCUAAUACCACCACGUCCUGGUGUCCCGUGUAUUGGCGAGCCAGCCGCAGGGCCAGGUCAUUGGCUUCUGACCUAUAACAGUAAAGGUGGGCACGGCUUGGACAGUCACUCAAAGGUUCUCCACAGAGAAACCAUGUGAACAGAGGAACCCUUCCAGCAGCAAGAAGAUUCUUGGACUUCAUUCAUUUAGUCAUUUGUUUGAUAGACAUAAAGUGCCUCCUAUAUGCUCAGCCCUGUUAUCACCCUCCCUCUUAAAGCCCUUCAGUGACACUCUGGGGUAAAAAGAGUAGGUAAAACAGGAGGCCCUGGCCUCUUUGAAACUUACAUUCUGAUGUGUCAUGAAAGCCAAAAAAACAAAGAGUGAUCAUUUUUCUAAGUGCUAGCUGUGGGUCCAGCGUACUAAGGGAGAAUCGGAUGGGCGCUACUUUAAAUAAGAAUGUGUUAGGGGUUGAACUGUGUUGCUCCAAAAUUGUUAUGUUGAAGCUCUAACUCCCAGUAUCUUAUAUGUGACUUUAUGUGGAAAUAAAGCUUUUGAAGAGGUAGGGUAAAAGAAGGGCUUCAGUGUAUCCUGAUCCAAUCUGACUGGUGUCCUUAGAAGGAGAGGAAAUCUGGAUGCACAGAGACAUCAGGGAUGUUUCCACACAGAUGAAAGGCCACAUGAGGGCACAAGAAGGAGGCAGCUCUCUGUGAGUCAAGGAGAGAGGCUUCAGAAGAAACCAAUCCUACUGACACCUUGAUCUUGGACUUUUUGCUUCUUAGAAAUAUGAUAUAGUACACUUUAUUGCUGAAGUCCCCUAGUCUGACAUUUUGUUAUGGCCACCCUAGCUAGGGUCAAGAGUGGCUCUUUAAGGAGGUAACACCUGAGUCUUGAGGGAGACCAUUCCAGGCAGAGGGAGCAGCAUGCACAAAGGCCCUGAUGGAGGCAGGAACUUGUGUCAGAGAAGCAAGAGAAGACAAGCAAGGCCAGAGCCUAGGGAGGGCAAGCCAGGAGAAGUGCAGAGUGCUGCAGGGGCCACAUUCACAGGACUGGGAAGGAGCCUGGGUUUUCUUUUCAGUGACAACAAAGCCAAUGAGGAGUUUUAAUCAGAGAAAGCACAUGAUUCAAAUCCCAUUUUAGGAGGCAGUCUGUAGCUAUAUGUCAAAAGGGAAUGAAAGUGGAAGUGAGGAGACCUAGGAGGUCCAGGUGAGAGCAGGGGAUGGGGAAGUGCUUGGAGUAAAGGGAUUUUUUGGAGACAGACAAGAUGGGACUGAAGCAGAAAUGCAUGUAUUUAGUUUCUUCCUUGAGCAGAGAUGUGGAUAGUGAUGCCAUUUAUGAGGUGAGCUGAUGUGAGGAUGGCAGUGGUGGGGCUGGGAAGGCCGGGAGUCGGUGGCUGGGAACAUCAGGGAGAACCAGUGUAAUGGUCUCACACUAGGUGUCGCAGAAGACAUGUCUUGAUUGUUUCUGGAUAUGUGAAGUUGGAGACGUUUGUCAGAUGUCAAAUGGACAGUUAGAACCUUGAGUCUGGAACACAUGGGAAGCAUCUGGGCUUGUGAUAUAAACUGGGAGUCAGCAGCACACGGAUAUUUAAUACUGAGGGAAUGGAUGAGAUCAUGGAGCAAGAGGACUCAGAGAGAAAAAAAAUGGCCCAGGACCAGUCCAGAGGAAUAUAGCAAGAGGUAUUGGCAAAGGAUUCAGAGGGGAGUGGCCAGAAAAGCUGGCAGGAUACCAGGAAGGCACCAGAAACCAGAGGAAAAAAUUUCCAGAGCACGGUCACUCUGUCAAAUAUUGCUGGAAGACAGAUAAGUCAAAGGUAGCCAAGAUUACUGGAUUUGGUAACAUAAAAGUCAUUGGCACCUACACAGAAUGAAUUUGGUGGGUUAAUAAGCCAAUAGGAAUAGCUCUUCCUCCUCUGCUGAGAAAGUACCAACCCUGCACCAAUUCCCUGCUCUUCCAACUGGGGUUCCAGUUUAGUCUGUCACUUCUUAGCUCCUUUCUUUGAACUGUUUCCUUAUCUGUCAAAUUAAGAUUGUAAAUUUUACUUCCUAGAAGUAAUUCAGGGAACUGAUGAAUGAUAAAUGGCAAUGGCAAUAAUAAUCAUCAUUACUAGGCUGGGCAAGUGCUCAGUGGUAGAGAGAUUGUCUACCAUUUAUAAGGUUCUGGGUUGCUUCCAUACCACCAUAAAAACAAACAAAAAUCACUACUAUAAUCCAAAUGCCACUACCUACAAUUGUUGGAAUAUUCUCUCUCAGAUAUGCCAUGAUCAUCUGCCUGAUUCUGCUGUCACUGCCACUCUCAUUGUAAGCUACAAUCACCUCCUACCUGGCCCCUGAAUUGGCACCAAACCCUGUCAACUCUUGCUUUCUGCCAGCCCUGAUGACAUCACUUCCCUAACUAAAACCCUCUGAUGUCUUCCCAGUGCUCUGAGGAUACAGUGUCCUCACUUGAUGGAUAAGGUCCUUGGGUGAUGGGCCCUGGGUCCCUCUCCAGAGUUAGCUCACACCCUUUCCUCUUCCUCUUUCAGUUCUUCAAGUGUGCCAGGAUGCUGUGCCCCUUCCUAUGACAGGGCCUUUGCACAAGCUGUUCCGUGUGGUAACCGACCUAGACAAGAGUAUUUGUGGUGGAGUAGGCAGCACCCUUCCUUCCUUUUCCCCUAGUUUUCUCCUGAGCUUUUAGCUUAACAUUGUUUCCUCAGGGAAACCUUCCUGACCUUCCAGAACAGGUCAGGUCCCCCCAAAUUUUUGGGCCUCAUUAUACCAUAUGCUUUUUCUCCAGACAAUAACUUUUCUUGGUAAUUUUAUAUUUCUUUGAAGAAUCAUUUGAUGUUUCUGCUUCUACUAAGUAGGGGUCUUUGGGCCUUAUGGAAGGCAGAAAUAAAGGAACACAUUAAUUCAUCAAGCCCCAACAAUGAUCCUGGAAGAGAGGCAAUGGCAUCCUUUACUAAAAGAGAAGAAAACUGGAUCCAACAGAAAAAGAACCAGGAUCCACACUUAGGAAGCACAGGAGCCUCUCCCUGAAGCCUACACCAUGCUGUGCCUAUCACCUGAAAUGGUCAAUGUAGCUGAAUCCCUGCCAUAAUCCCUGCACUUGGCGAUGGCUGUGCUGCAGUGCUGUUCAUGGCUGGGCUGUUUGUCACUCUCUGAGCUCAUCAUCAGUCCCAGGUGGAACUGAAUCCACACACCUAGACCUCUGACUCCUGCCUGAGACUUCUACUGCUACUUGACAAAGACUCGGCGUUCUCUGCACAUGGAUGUGAGUCAGCUCAAGCCAGGCUCUCUACAACUGGCAUCAGAUUCACAGCCUCUCCUGCCCCACCAGCCUGAGGUGAUACUGACCAUGAGCCACAUUGUUGAUGCAAUCGAUGUAUUCUCCCCC